AAAUCCGCCGGGCUUAGAUGAGGGGUGAUAACGAGUCUGCUUGCAGACGAAUUGAGUGAUACCCAGCUUCCAGGAAAAGCCACUAAGCUUCAGCUACACACGACCGUACCGCAAACCGACACUGGUGCGCGAGAUGAGUAUUCUAAGGCGCUUGAGAGAACUCAGGAGAAGGAGCUCGGCAAAUUGAUACCGUAACUUCGGGAGAAGGUAUGCCCCAAGUAGGUGAACUCGAACAGAGGGAGCCCAACGGGGUUGCAAAAAAUCGGUGGCUGCGACUGUUUAAUAAAAACACAGCACUCUGCAAACACGAAAGUGGACGUAUAGGGUGUGACGCCUGCCCGGUGCUGGAAGAUUAAGUGAUGGGGUGCAAGCUCUUGAUUGAAGUCCCAGUAAACGGCGGCCGUAACUAUAACGGUCCUAAGGUAGCGAAAUUCCUUGUCGGGUAAGUUCCGACCUGCACGAAUGGCGUAACGAUGGCCACACUGUCUCCUCCUGAGACUCAGCGAAGUUGAAAUGUUUGUGAUGAUGCAAUCUCCCCGCGGAAAGACGGAAAGACCCCAUGAACCUUUACUGUAGCUUUGUAUUGGACUUUGAACAGAUCUGUGUAGGAUAGGUGGGAGGCUUUGAAGUGAUGUCGCUAGAUGUCAUGGAGCCAACGUUGAAAUACCACCCUGGUGUGUUUGAGGUUCUAACCUAGGUCCAUUAUCUGGAUCGGGGACAGUGCAUGGUAGGCAGUUUGACUGGGGCGGUCUCCUCCCAAAGCGUAACGGAGGAGUUCGAAGGUACGCUAGUUACGGUCGGACAUCGUGACGAUAGUGCAAUGGCAUAAGCGUGCUUAACUGCGAGACUGACAAGUCGAGCAGAUGCGAAAGCAGGACAUAGUGAUCCGGUGGUUCUGUAUGGAAGGGCCAUCGCUCAACGGAUAAAAGGUACUCUGGGGAUAACAGGCUGAUACCGCCCAAGAGUUCAUAUCGACGGCGGUGUUUGGCACCUCGAUGUCGGCUCAUCUCAUCCUGGGGCUGUAGCCGGUCCCAAGGGUAUGGCUGUUCGCCAUUUAAAGGGGUACGUGAGCUGGGUUUAAAACGUCGUGAGACAGUUUGGUCCCUAUCUUCCGUGGGCGCUGCAGACUCGAGGAAGUCUGCUCCUAGUACGAGAGGACCGGAGUGGACACACCUCUGGUGUAUCGGUUGUCACGCCAGUGGCAUUGCCGAGUAGCUAAGUGUGGAAGAGAUAACCGCUGAAAGCAUCUAAGCGGGAAACUCGUUUCAAGAUGAGAUCUGCCGGGGCCUUGAGCCCCCUGAAGAGUCGUUCAAGACCAGGACGUUGAUAGGUCAGGUGUGGAAGCCAA
This 1348-nucleotide ribosomal RNA is filed under the name metagenome. Its description in RNAcentral is "bacterial LSU rRNA". It matches the Rfam family "Bacterial large subunit ribosomal RNA", at positions 1538 to 2877 of the family's 2925-position model. The record is from RNAcentral.